GACGAACGCUGGCGGCGUGCUUAACACAUGCAAGUCGAACGGAAAGGCCCUGCUUUUGUGGGGUGCUCGAGUGGCGAACGGGUGAGUAACACGUGAGUAACCUGCCCUUGACUUUGGGAUAACUUCAGGAAACUGGGGCUAAUACCGGAUAGGAGCUCCUGCUGCAUGGUGUGGGUUGGAAAGUUUCGGCGGUUGGGGAUGGACUCGCGGCUUAUCAGCUUGUUGGUGGGGUAGUGGCUUACCAAGGCUUUGACGGGUAGCCGGCCUGAGAGGGUGACCGGCCACAUUGGGACUGAGAUACGGCCCAGACUCCUACGGGAGGCAGCAGUGGGGAAUAUUGCACAAUGGGCGGAAGCCUGAUGCAGCAACGCCGCGUGCGGGAUGAUGGCCUUCGGGUUGUAAACCGCUUUCGCCUGUGACGAAGCGUGAGUGACGGUAAUGGGUAAAGAAGCACCGGCUAACUACGUG
RNAcentral lists this ribosomal RNA (468 nucleotides) under uncultured bacterium. RNAcentral describes it as "partial 16S ribosomal RNA". It matches the Rfam family "Bacterial small subunit ribosomal RNA", at positions 28 to 507 of the family's 1533-position model. The record is from RNAcentral.